CCUACGGGCGGCAGCAGUGAGGAAUAUUGGUCAAUGGGCUUACGCCUGAACCAGCCAAGUCGCGUGAGGGAAGACUGCCCUAUGGGUUGUAAACCUCUUUUGUCAGGGAGCAAUUGGCGCUACGUGUAGCGUUAUCGAGAGUACCUGAAGAAAAAGCAUCGGCUAACUCCGUGCCAGCAGCCGCGGUAAUACGGAGGAUGCGAGCGUUAUCCGGAUUUAUUGGGUUUAAGGGGUGCGUAGGCGGAAUGCAAAGUCAGCGGGAAAAUCGCGGGGCUCAACCUCGCUCCGCCGUUGAAACUGGCGUUCUUGAGUGGGCGAGAAGUAUGCGGAAUGCGUGGUGUAGCGGUGAAAUGCAUAGAUAUCACGCAGAACUCCGAUUGCGAAGGCAGCAUACCGGCGCCCAACUGACGCUGAAGCACGAAAGCGUGGGUAUCGAACAGGAUUAGAUACCCCGGUAGUC
This 460-nucleotide ribosomal RNA is filed under the name uncultured bacterium. RNAcentral describes it as "partial 16S ribosomal RNA". It matches the Rfam family "Bacterial small subunit ribosomal RNA", at positions 338 to 795 of the family's 1533-position model. The record is from RNAcentral.